Molecule: ribosomal RNA, 253 nt
Filed under: uncultured bacterium
Lineage: Bacteria
Description: partial 16S ribosomal RNA
Rfam family: Bacterial small subunit ribosomal RNA
Source: RNAcentral
UACAGAGGUGGCAAGCGUUGUUCGGAAUUACUGGGCGUAAAGGGCGCGUAGGCGGGGCGGUAAGUCGGGUGUGAAAUCCCUCGGCCCAACCGAGGAACUGCGCCCGAGACUGCUUCUCUUGAGUCCCGGAGAGGAAGAUGGAAUUCCCGGUGUAGCGGUGAAAUGUGUAGAGAUCGGGAGGAACACCGGUGGCGAAGGCGGUCUUCUGGACGGUGACUGACGCUGAGGCGCGAAAGCGUGGGGAGCAAACAGG